Molecule: ribosomal RNA, 253 nt
Filed under: uncultured bacterium
Lineage: Bacteria
Description: partial 16S ribosomal RNA
Rfam family: Bacterial small subunit ribosomal RNA
Source: RNAcentral
UACAGAGGUCCCAAGCGUUGUUCGGAUUCACUGGGCGCAAAGGGUGCGUAGGUGGUGAGGUAAGUCGGAUGUGAAAUCUCGGAGCUCAACUCCGAAAUGGCAUUGGAAACUGCCUUGCUAGAGGGUUGGAGGGGGGACUGGAAUUCUCGGUGUAGCAGUGAAAUGCGUAGAUAUCGAGAGGAACACCGGUGGCGAAGGCGAGUCCCUGGACAACUCCUGACACUGAGGCACGAAAGCUAGGGGAGCAAACAGG